GGUCAAUCCCUCAUGGACCUCGUCACUGGUCGCCGACUACCGGUCUUUGCGACACGUUGCAUCUUUCUCACACGUUAUUUUAAUUUAGCCUUUUGUGUCUUCUGUUUGCAUUAGGCUUCGGAGAAGAAACUAUCCAACCCCAUGCGAGAAAUCAAGGUGCAGAAGCUGGUUCUCAACAUCUCCGUCAGCGAGAGUGGCGAUCGUCUCACCAGAGCCGCAAAGGUGUUGGAGCAGCUUAGUGGCCAAACCCUAGUGUAGAAUGUUAAUAAAUCAGUUCCCUUAAUUUAACUAACAUGUAAUUGAGGAUAGGGUCAAAAAAUGUGAUUUGAGUCAGCUGACCUUUUAGAAAGUUGUUUGCUACUGCACUUAUGUGUCUAUAGUAUUCAUAUGAUAGGCGUUUUGAUCCGUGUCUGUGUCUUGGAGGCACGCUGCAUUUGCCUGUGAUUUCAGUAUUAAGGAUUAUGAUAAAACUGUGGCCUUGGUUUGUUGUGUGUUACAACUUAAAACCUUGUUUGGAAAGUCACGCAACAACCUUGCUACAAUAUUUCCUAACAGGUAUUGAAGCAGGUUACAAGUAUUGAAGCUGAAAGAAAUGAGAUGGAAUGUUCAUACAACAUCAAAAGUUCAGAUAUAAAAUAAAACAGUCUCCUGCACUCAAAAGGAAUGCAGAUUCCAAAUAAGACUUUAAGAUAAAUAAAUCAAAAGGAAAGGAAUCACUCUACGUCAAACUUGUACAACUUACCAGCUAAAAUUUUUACUCAUAUUUUAUACAAGAUCAAACAUUACUCAUUUACAAAUUAGAUAAUUAAUUAAAUGUUGAGAUGUGCAUGCAAUUAACAAUGUUUUAUGUAAGGGGGAAAACGAAAGAAGAAGAAAAAUAAAACCAAUAUUGGGAGAUGGGAAAGGUUAAUAGUUAAUAUAUUACUCCAAUGGAUAGUUUGUCUUUAUUCUUUGAUUUUAUAAGUUUGUUUACAUAUACAGAUUAAUCCAUUCCAAGGCGUUCAUGGAGUGAGUCUCGGACCGUAAACCACAUCAUCAUCAUACUCAUCAAAUCCGAGCACCCCGAAGAAUGGUGGGUCCACCGCUUCCAUAGAUUGUGAUUCUGAUUGUGACUAUGACAAGCUAGAGCUAUUACUCGGAACUCUAUCACAACUCUCCAACAGCCUCUGAAAGUUUAUCUUUUAGCUUCAAUACCUAACAGGCAUAUUUCCUUCAAGUGCCUUUUUUUCGUAUCGUGUACUGUGUGACUGGAGUGGGUUUCCUCUUUUUGCAUUUUUGUGCUUGUCAAUUGAAUUUGAUGCAUUUUACUUUUGUCAUCAGUGAUUUUGUUUCUCUUAUCUUUGCUCUUAAUUUGGAAAGCGGUGCUAGCAACACCUUUGAUCGCGACCUACGAUGGCUGAUUGGAUGGAGGCUGAGGCGGGCGCGCAUGAGCGGAGGAGACGAGCGAUUUUGGGGUUCCUCUGGUUCUCUUUGGAUUCAAGUGGAGGAUGCAGAGACCAAUUGGUCUGGUGGGAGAGGCGAAAAACCUUGAUGGGUUUCGGAUUGGUAGAAUGCAGUUGAUUGUCUUUGCUUCUCUAGGAUUUCAAUUCCUCUUCUCCAUUGACCAAAUCCCUAAUUAUCUUUCAAAAAUGAUUCUUUGACACGGUUUAAGUAAAUGACAUUCAUUUGACACGCAGUGGGGCCCAUUCACUGUCAAUGUCAUCAAGGGUAAAUUUGUCAUUUGAUUGCGCUGGUAAAAGAAUAAAUGAAACUGUGCGUUUCAAUGAAGGGAGCUGCUGCAUUAGGGUCCUCUCUCAGAUUUGAAUUUGUCAGGUCGCCCAUUUGAUUUUGAAAGAGGAACUCUUCGUGUGCGUGCUAGGGUUAGGGUUGUGAGAGAAUGCGAGAACUCUUCAUGACUGCCACUUAACCGGAGACUGGACCAGAUCGGAAAAGUUCGAACCAGCGAACUCAAAGUAGAUGAUCGGUGUGGAGCGCGGAAGGCUUUUACCAUGGUCUCCGUCCACCGCAAUGCUGCUAUCAACGACCUCGCCCUACAUUCGUCCAAUCAACGCGCCAUCACCAUUGCCCGUGACAACUGCCUUGCCGUCGUCAAUUUCGUCCGCGGCCGCUGCAACUGAUGCUUGCGCCUCAACAAGGAACUUACUCUGGUCAAGUUCAAUGCGCCCAGUGACCACUUUUUUAUGGUUACGAAGGAGAAGGUUUUUGUCCACCAGACUGAGGAUGCACGCAUAUUGUUCGAAUUGGAAUGCUCCAAGCCCGUUCUAUGUGCUUCUUCAAAUUCUUGCCCUGUUUUCUCGAAUUAUCAUCGAAUAUCAAGUUGGUUAUUUUUAUUUUCUCUAUUUCUUCCUUUGGUGAUGCUGAUUUGUCUUGUAUGUUAAAAAUACCUAGGGUUUAGGUAGCAUUUGAUAAAGAAAUUUUGGUAUAUUGUCACUAGUUAUGUUUUUCGGGCGUCAAAUAUUUGUGAUGUUUUGCAGUGGGAAGAUUUUACACAGAUUUUGGAGACUAUUUUGAAGCAUCAAUUUUACCUCAUUGUACCCAUGUCAAUUCUAAUUCUUCUAAAACAAAUUGCAUAUAAAAUUUAGAUCUGAUGUAAUUAUUGAUUUGUUGCUUGCUUACUACAUGUAUCCUCCACAUGGAAGAAGAGCAAAUGCUAUAGAGCAAGACCAUGUCUAAAUUAACAAAGUCAACAAAAGAGGCAGUUGUGGCUACUUUGAAGUCUAUUAUAUAUAAAAAUGAUCUACAUUUUUCUCAAUUAUUCAUUCUAAUUUGUACCCUUAAUCUUGUAUGCCUUGAUUGAUAGGUUGGAAGAAGAAUAAUGCAUGAUUCAUAUUGGAAGUAUAUGCUGGAUUAUGUAUGGAAACCAUUCUAAAUGUGAUAAUGUGGUUGAUCUCAUGGCAAAGUUCAUCUUAUCUUGUUUAUGUUACUUUCUAUCAUAUGAUUAGCCUUUGUUAAUUUCCAUGGUACAUAAAUGUUAUACUGAGUUUUCAUCAUUGAAUAGGUACCCAAUUUAUAUUGUCCCAAGUCGAAACAAUGAAAAGGAAUUGGAAGCAUGCUUUCUCACUUACCAUACUCUGUCAUCAUCUUUCGAAGAUAAGCAUGCCAAAGAGUAGAUUAUACUAUAUUUCUUUCUAAAGGCUAUUUGAAGAGAGAUUAAUAUUUGAAGAGCCUGGUUGGAGUAAGAAAAAUAUUGUCAAGGAUUUCUAAGGAAACAUCAUAGGAUGCUUUGAACAACACACCUUGUCUGCUUCCUACAUGGAUUUCUAAGUUUUCUUCUCAAUAAGUAAGUUUAUACUUUAGUUGAUUGCAUGUGUUUUUAAUGUAUCACUCUAGUAACAUGUUUGGAUCACUCUAAUGACAAGUUCAACCUUAAUGUAUACAUACUAGUUUUUUCCAAAGUUUUCUGCAUAGUUUAUCAUCUUUAGUUGGUUGAAUGUUGGGACACUGGGUUAUUGAAAUCAUAAAUGUUGCUUGUUAGCAGUAAUUUGGAUUGGAAUGUGAAUUAUUCUAUGAUAACAACUCUUCAUUUUUUCCCUUUAGAUUAAGACUUAGCUCGUUACCUUGUGUUUAUCAUCAACAGGAGAAUGAUGGUGUUCUUCAUAGUUUUGUAAUAAUCAUAUCAUUUGAACCAAGAGCUUUAGUGACAAAUUGGAAGUUGUAAUAAGGAAGAACUUUAUGUGGGUUGUCAUGAAAAGAUAUAAAUCUAAGGUAGACUAAUGGAAUCCUACUAUUCUUUGGCAUAUAGAGAGCUUCUGAUAUAAUGUGUAAAUCUGAAUAGUUCCUAAGGGCUUUUGUAGAUCAGUUAGAAAUGGUCAUGCCGACUUGGAAUCACACUACACUUUCAUGACCAAAUAUACCAUUCUGCCGAAGGAUGUACAUUUCUUAUAGUCUUUCUGAAAGUGUGUGACUGAGUAUAAUUGUAGUUCUUUGAAUAAAUUUUUUGGUAUAUUUAUACAACAAACUUAGAUGCAGAAGCUACUAUUAGUUGCUUGUAUUGUGGUUUAUGGUGAUGGUUUGUUGAGAUGUGGAUCACUGAUGGUAAUUUAAACAUGCAUGCAGUUCCUCAAGUGUUUUUAUGCUGCCUGUAAUCAGUCUCUAUCACCUUUAAUCUGGAUACUAAAUAUUUAUAUUAAAGAUCACCAAAAACAUAUGAGGAACUACUUCGAAUUUUUUCUGCUCAUAUUUAUAUUAGGUCAUAAUGUUUUUCUAUAUAAUGAUGAUGAGGAUUAUAGAAUAUAAUUGUAUAUGGUUUUAUUAAAAUAAUGCUGAGGUUUUAUUCUUACCCGGUUACCAAAUUAUAAAUCUCAGAAGUUUUGGAGAGUGAAAAUAGUAUUCUAAAAUUUUUGGAAAUUUUUUCACUCAGUGGUCAGGUUUUCCUUUGUUUAUAGUUUUAUGUUGUUUAGUUUAUGUAGGCAAUUGUUAGUGUUACUUUUGGCAUUAUUCAUGUUAAACUUUUUGUUUCUAAUUAUUUCUUUUUGAAUUAGUGGUGGUGGCCUAUACAAGUUGCUUCAUACCCUGACUCUGAAUGCUUCUAAGUACAUUUUACAAGCUCUGAUAAGUACUUGAUUGGAUUCUCUCUUGCAUGUUACGUGUACUUGAUUUGAUUGUGUGUUCAUAUCACAUCAAUUACCCAAAACUUUUCUAAAAAGAAGCAUGAUGAGUACAAUAUUUUUAUAAUUUGAGUGUACACACAUGUUCAUGGUGAAUUUGAGUACGUAUCUUAAAAUUAAUUUAUUAUUUUAUUUUAUUUAUGUAAUUUCGUUUCAUGCAAUCCCUUUUUCACUGUUUUCAUCAAACCUUCUCAUGAGAUGGAAUAUCGGCUGGUGGGUAAAUCUUAAACAUGAAACACAUGUUGAUUUAGUCUUCGGUUCUCUGCUCUACAUUCAAACUCUUGCUAUAAAAAUAUAUCUUAUGCAGUGCAUACCAGAUUUGGAAGGCAUUAUUGGUAAGAAGUGUGCGGUGCUGCAGCAUGGGGAAAGAUAGUGGAAAGUAAAGUUAUUUAAUAAAAGUUAUUUUGGUCGUCAUAGUUUUGGUGCUGGCGUUUUUGACAGAAAAUGAAUUGAAAGCAGGAGAUGUUUGUGUAUUUGAACUUAUUAGCAAGAAGGAUGGUAUUUUUAAAGCUCAUAUUUUCUAAAAGGAUCACUAAUUUGUCUGCAUGAAAGCUGUGGUCUUGCUGAGGAAUUUGAAAGAAAAUGUUGUAAAGAAACAAAGAUAUUGUAAUGGGGUGUUCCCAAGUAUUAGACAUUUAAAGAGUGUUACUGUUAUGUAAUCAACCAGUUAUGUUUAUUGAAAUAUAGUACUGCAUUAGGUGA
Molecule: long non-coding RNA, 5309 nt
Organism: Vigna angularis (adzuki bean)
Lineage: Eukaryota; Viridiplantae; Streptophyta; Magnoliopsida; Fabales; Fabaceae
Exons: 4
Source: RefSeq, a predicted model, not a curated record